UUAAGCGACUAAGCGUACACGGUGGAUGCCCUGGCAGUCAGAGGCGAUGAAGGGCGUGCUAAUCUGCGAUAAGCGCCGGUAAGGUGAUAUGAACCGUUAUAACCGGCGAUACCCGAAUGGGGAAACCCAGUGUGAUUCGUCACACUAUCAUUAACUGAAUCCAUAGGUUAAUGAGGCGAACCGGGGGAACUGAAACAUCUAAGUACCCCGAGGAAAAGAAAUCAACCGAGAUUCCCCCAGUAGCGGCGAGCGAACGGGGAGGAGCCCAGAGCCUGAAUCAGCAUGUGUGUUAGUGGAAGCGUCUGGAAAGGCGCGCGAUACAGGGUGACAGCCCCGUACACAAAAGCGCAUGUGCUGUGAGCUCGAUGAGUAGGGCGGGACACGUGGUAUCCUGUCUGAAUAUGGGGGGACCAUCCUCCAAGGCUAAAUACUCCUGACUGACCGAUAGUGAACCAGUACCGUGAGGGAAAGGCGAAAAGAACCCCGGCGAGGGGAGUGAAAAAGAACCUGAAACCGUGUACGUACAAGCAGUGGGAGCACCCUUUGGGGUGUGACUGCGUACCUUUUGUAUAAUGGGUCAGCGACUUAUAUUCUGUAGCAAGGUUAACCGAAUAGGGGAGCCGGAGGGAAACCGAGUCUUAAUUGGGCGUUAAGUUGCAGGGUAUAGACCCGAAACCCGGUGAUCUAGCCAUGGGCAGGUUGAAGGUUGGGUAACACUAACUGGAGGACCGAACCGACUAAUGUUGAAAAAUUAGCGGAUGACCUGUGGCUGGGGGUGAAAGGCCAAUCAAACCGGGAGAUAGCUGGUUCUCCCCGAAAGCUAUUUAGGUAGCGCCUCGUGAAUUCAUCUCCGGGGGUAGAGCACUGUUUCGGCUAGGGGGCCAUCCCGGCUUACCAACCCGAUGCAAACUGCGAAUACCGGAGAAUGUUAUCACGGGAGACACACGGCGGGUGCUAACGUCCGUCGUGAAGAGGGAAACAACCCAGACCGCCAGCUAAGGUCCCAAAGUCAUGGUUAAGUGGGAAACGAUGUGGGAAGGCCCAGACAGCCAGGAUGUUGGCUUAGAAGCAGCCAUCAUUUAAAGAAAGCGUAAUAGCUCACUGGUCGAGUCGGCCUGCGCGGAAGAUGUAACGGGGCUAAACCAUGCACCGAAGCUGCGGCAGCGACACUGAUGUGUUGUUGGGUAGGGGAGCGUUCUGUAAGCCUGUGAAGGUGGCCUGUGAGGGUUGCUGGAGGUAUCAGAAGUGCGAAUGCUGACAUAAGUAACGAUAAAGCGGGUGAAAAGCCCGCUCGCCGGAAGACCAAGGGUUCCUGUCCAACGUUAAUCGGGGCAGGGUGAGUCGACCCCUAAGGCGAGGCCGAAAGGCGUAGUCGAUGGGAAACGGGUUAAUAUUCCCGUACUUGGUGUUACUGCGAAGGGGGGACGGAGAAGGCUAUGUUGGCCGGGCGACGGUUGUCCCGGUUUAAGCGUGUAGGUGUGUGUUCCAGGUAAAUCCGGUUCACUUUAACACUGAGGCGUGACGACGAGGCACUACGGUGCUGAAGCAACAAAUGCCCUGCUUCCAGGAAAAGCCUCUAAGCAUCAGGUAACAUCAAAUCGUACCCCAAACCGACACAGGUGGUCAGGUAGAGAAUACCAAGGCGCUUGAGAGAACUCGGGUGAAGGAACUAGGCAAAAUGGUGCCGUAACUUCGGGAGAAGGCACGCUGACACGUAGGUGAAGUGAUUUACUCAUGGAGCUGAAGUCAGUCGAAGAUACCAGCUGGCUGCAACUGUUUAUUAAAAACACAGCACUGUGCAAACACGAAAGUGGACGUAUACGGUGUGACGCCUGCCCGGUGCCGGAAGGUUAAUUGAUGGGGUCAGCGCAAGCGAAGCUCCUGAUCGAAGCCCCGGUAAACGGCGGCCGUAACUAUAACGGUCCUAAGGUAGCGAAAUUCCUUGUCGGGUAAGUUCCGACCUGCACGAAUGGCGUAAUGAUGGCCAGGCUGUCUCCACCCGAGACUCAGUGAAAUUGAACUCGCUGUGAAGAUGCAGUGUACCCGCGGCAAGACGGAAAGACCCCGUGAACCUUUACUAUAGCUUGACACUGAACAUUGAGCCUUGAUGUGUAGGAUAGGUGGGAGGCUUUGAAGUGUGGACGCCAGUCUGCAUGGAGCCGACCUUGAAAUACCACCCUUUAAUGUUUGAUGUUCUAACGUGGACCCGUAAUCCGGGUUGCGGACAGUGUCUGGUGGGUAGUUUGACUGGGGCGGUCUCCUCCUAAAGAGUAACGGAGGAGCACGAAGGUUGGCUAAUCCUGGUCGGACAUCAGGAGGUUAGUGCAAUGGCAUAAGCCAGCUUGACUGCGAGCGUGACGGCGCGAGCAGGUGCGAAAGCAGGUCAUAGUGAUCCGGUGGUUCUGAAUGGAAGGGCCAUCGCUCAACGGAUAAAAGGUACUCCGGGGAUAACAGGCUGAUACCGCCCAAGAGUUCAUAUCGACGGCGGUGUUUGGCACCUCGAUGUCGGCUCAUCACAUCCUGGGGCUGAAGUAGGUCCCAAGGGUAUGGCUGUUCGCCAUUUAAAGUGGUACGCGAGCUGGGUUUAGAACGUCGUGAGACAGUUCGGUCCCUAUCUGCCGUGGGCGCUGGAGAACUGAGGGGGGCUGCUCCUAGUACGAGAGGACCGGAGUGGACGCAUCACUGGUGUUCGGGUUGUCAUGCCAAUGGCACUGCCCGGUAGCUAAAUGCGGAAGAGAUAAGUGCUGAAAGCAUCUAAGCACGAAACUUGCCCCGAGAUGAGUUCUCCCUGAGACUUAGAGUCUCCUGAAGGAACGUUGAAGACGACGACGUUGAUAGGCCGGGUGUGUAAGCGCAGCGAUGCGUUGAGCUAACCGGUACUAAUGAACCGUGAGGCUUAACCUU
Molecule: ribosomal RNA, 2904 nt
Filed under: Salmonella enterica
Lineage: Bacteria; Pseudomonadati; Pseudomonadota; Gammaproteobacteria; Enterobacterales; Enterobacteriaceae
Description: bacterial LSU rRNA
Rfam family: Bacterial large subunit ribosomal RNA
Source: RNAcentral